RNAcentral lists this ribosomal RNA (253 nucleotides) under uncultured bacterium. RNAcentral describes it as "partial 16S ribosomal RNA". It matches the Rfam family "Bacterial small subunit ribosomal RNA", at positions 524 to 776 of the family's 1533-position model. The record is from RNAcentral.
UACGGAGGGGGCUAGCGUUGUUCGGAAUUACUGGGCGUAAAGCGCACGUAGGCGGCUUUGUAAGUUAGAGGUGAAAGCCCGGAGCUCAACUCCGGAAUAGCCUUUAAGACUGCAUCGCUAGAACGUUGGAGAGGUAAGUGGAAUUCCGAGUGUAGAGGUGAAAUUCGUAGAUAUCUGGAGGAACACCGGUGGCGAAGGCGGCAUCCUGGACCAAUAUUGACGCUGAGGAGCGAAAGCCAGGGGAGCAAACGGG